UUUUUUACUACACUACAUAUGUUGGUAAAGCAUUUACCUAAGUUAUGGAAAAUUCAUAAUUCAUCAGUUAUUUUAGAUAAUACUAAAAAACAAGAUAGAGUAAGAUACAGACGUUAAAAGAAAGUGGAUUCAUCAGAUGAUACAUGA
This 147-nucleotide ribosomal RNA is filed under the name Triticum aestivum (bread wheat). Its description in RNAcentral is "partial small subunit ribosomal RNA". The record is from RNAcentral. Lineage: Eukaryota; Viridiplantae; Streptophyta; Magnoliopsida; Poales; Poaceae.